AGAAUCAACGCUGGCGGCGUGCCUCAGACAUGCAAGUCGAACGAUUAAAGCUCCCUUCGGGGAGUGCAUAAAGUGGCGCACGGGUGAGUAACACGUAAGUAAUCUACCCUCGGGUGGGGAAUAACGUUCGGAAACGGACGCUAAUACCGCAUGAUGCAGCGGCACCGCAAGGUGACAGUUGUUAAAGAUUUAUUGCCUGGGGAGGAGCUUGCGGCAGAUUAGCUUGUUGGUAAGGUAACGGCUUACCAAGGCUACGAUCUGUAUCCGGUCUAAGAGGACGGUCGGACACACUGACACUGAAUAACGGGUCAGACUCCUACGGGAGGCAGCAGUCGGGAAUUUGGGCAAUGGGGGAAACCCUGACCCAGCAACGCCGCGUGAAGGAUGAAGUAUUUCGGUAUGUAAACUUCGAAAGAAUAGGAAGAAUUAAUGACGGUACUAUUUAUAAGGUCCGAUAACACGUGCCAACAGCCGC
This 475-nucleotide ribosomal RNA is filed under the name uncultured soil bacterium. RNAcentral describes it as "bacterial SSU rRNA". It matches the Rfam family "Bacterial small subunit ribosomal RNA", at positions 26 to 518 of the family's 1533-position model. The record is from RNAcentral.